ACAAAUCUUUCAAAAAUUUGGCAUAAGCAGGGACCUAUUUGAUUGUAUCUAGAAGGGGAAGAUUAAUUUGGACUUGCUUAAACAAUUCCAACAUCUCAUCGAGUUUUCCUCCCUUCUUAUCUACAGGAAUAGGGGCUUUCAGGACAUCCGAAAAUGGGGCUUUAGGCAAGUAAGAUGAUUCCGAUGCAGUUGGUUCAUUCUCUAUUUUCAAGUCCUCCUUGUUCUUGGGUGAUUUGACUUCGAUUAGAGGUUUAGGGAUGGUCUCAUUGGUUUUACUAGUGUGUUCAAUGACCUUUCCACUUCUCAGACUCAUGAUUGAUUUGGCGUGUUCAGAAAAAGCUUUUGGGGUAUUAGAGCUUUCAAUCACAAAUUGCCCUCUUGGGUUGCUUUUGGGUUGGCUAGAUAAUUUUUCUCCUCCCCUCCUACUGAAUGCAAUUGCUAGUUGACCUAUUUGGGUCUCUAGCUUAGCAAUGGAUUGUGUGUGGGAGUUAAGGAUCUGAGUGUUGACUUCUAAUCGUUCUAGUAUUUUCAGAACUUUUUUCUCAAAAGCUGAGCUAUGACCAGUAGUAGACGGUUGAGGAGCAUUUUGAAAUUGAUGGUAUGGUCCAUGCCUAUAUGUUGGGUCCUGAUAUUGAGGUCGAGGUGUGGCAGGGCCAACCACUGGUUAUGGUCUCCAGAAAAAAUUUGGAUGGUUUCUCCAGCCGGGGUUAUAAGUGUUCGAAUAUG
This 726-nucleotide long non-coding RNA is filed under the name Elaeis guineensis (African oil palm). Its description in RNAcentral is "long non-coding RNA (EGUI_LNC012195)". The record is from RNAcentral. Lineage: Eukaryota; Viridiplantae; Streptophyta; Magnoliopsida; Arecales; Arecaceae.